UUUUUUUGACAACCCUAAAUCCAGCGAGCAGAAUGCAGGCAGCGGCAACCGGCAACUCCGACGGAAGAGUGUCAAUGGCGGACGCCAGAGGGGAACGAUCAUCAUUUCAUUUUCUAUCCAAAUUGAAACGAGAGAAGCCAAGAGUAAAUAACACACUUAACGUUUAGCGUUCGUUGAAUAGCAGGGAUUUCGAAUUCCGAUUUCCGGUACUUCAGUAUUGCUCUCAAAUGAAUUUCAUUUCUGGAUUCAUGUGGAAUUAUUUGAUAUCUCAGACUCAAACCUUUUCCGCUAUGAAUGUUGAUAUUGCACUGUUACUGCAUAUAAUAAGAGUAGGGGGCUCAAUUAUUAACUUUUGCAGUUGUACAGCUCAAGCCCACCGCUAGCCGAUAUUAUCCGCUUUGGUCCGUUAUGUAUCGCCGUCAGCCUCAUGGUUUUAAGACGCGUCUGCUGCUUGUCUAAAGAUGAGGGACAAAACUUUACUCGAUCACAUCAAGCAAGAAGGACAUCUAACUGUUUUUUAAUUUUACAGGCAC
Cucurbita moschata (crookneck pumpkin) is the source of this 533-nucleotide long non-coding RNA. RefSeq lists it as uncharacterized. NCBI's taxonomy places the organism in Eukaryota, Viridiplantae, Streptophyta, Magnoliopsida, Cucurbitales, Cucurbitaceae. The record is from RefSeq and is a predicted model, not a curated record. The transcript is spliced from 4 exons.